GUUGCACAUUUAUGCAAACGCCGGGGUCACUCACGUGACCCGGCGUUAAAGCAACAGUACCACAAUCACAGUGGUAGGCGUAGAUAUCUCCCACGUGUGAUUCUUAAUUCUGAUUGGAAGUUAUCCAAUCAGAAUUAAGCAAAGGAUAUUUAUACUUACCUUUCCUGUCUCUCAGUGCCCUGUUGUGGUCUUGUGAUAGCUGUAUUGCAGUUUGCUCGUGUUUCUCUCUGGUUACUGAUUAUUUGGCUCGUUAUUCCGAUUUUCAUGUAUUCUCC
Molecule: non-coding RNA, 275 nt
Organism: Pelobates cultripes (western spadefoot toad)
Lineage: Eukaryota; Metazoa; Chordata; Amphibia; Anura; Pelobatidae
Source: the annotation of a GenBank genome assembly